Molecule: non-coding RNA, 238 nt
Organism: Chelonoidis abingdonii (Abingdon island giant tortoise)
Lineage: Eukaryota; Metazoa; Chordata; Testudines; Testudinidae
Source: RefSeq, a predicted model, not a curated record
AAUAAUAUCUUAAAUAAAGAACUCAAAUUAAAUAUCUAAUCAAAGACACGUGAAGAGGGCACUUCUAACAGCACAGUAAAUAUUUUACUGUCUUUUUCAGUGGAAGUCCUUAUCCAGGCAUUAUAUCAGCUUUUGUGUUAAAGACUGGACUAGACUGAGGUCAUGGAUAAGAAUAAAACCCAAAGCAAUUUUUCCCUCAUAUCAUUUUCUAGGUUUUAUUAUAGGUUUUAUAAAGAGU